GGGUGUUAGGAACUUUGCUAAGAACUUUACAUCUCUCACCAUGUUGAUUUGUCUAAUCUACCGGGGUAGGUAUGUGUGCCCUACAUCCCUCACUACUCCGUGUAAGUCCCUCCCCAGCCUGUGGGCACAAAGAGAAUGACCUUCCUCAUAGACGGGAACUCAUUUGUCCAAUAAGCUUAUAGGAGUCACCAUGAUCCCCUGCUCGAGCCUCCUAACAAUCUUUCAAAGUCCAUUUCUAAGAGAAUAAAACAUAGUUCAUUUUUAAAAUACACAUUAAAAAUUUU
Molecule: small nuclear RNA, 284 nt
Filed under: Bos taurus (domestic cattle)
Lineage: Eukaryota; Metazoa; Chordata; Mammalia; Artiodactyla; Bovidae
Also listed under: 2 other names
Description: 7SK RNA
Rfam family: 7SK RNA
About the family: 7SK was discovered as an abundant small nuclear RNA in the mid-70s but a possible function has only recently been suggested. Two independent studies have found that 7SK RNA binds the CDK9/cyclin T complex (known as elongation factor P-TEFb).
Source: Rfam by way of RNAcentral